CCUGUGGCUCAGAUGGUAAAGCGUCUGCCUGCAAUGCAGGAAACCCAGGUUCGAUCCCUGGGGCAGGA
This 68-nucleotide transfer RNA is filed under the name Ovis aries (sheep). It matches the Rfam family "tRNA". Rfam says of the family: Transfer RNA (tRNA) molecules are approximately 80 nucleotides in length. Lineage: Eukaryota; Metazoa; Chordata; Mammalia; Artiodactyla; Bovidae. The record is from Rfam by way of RNAcentral.